UCUCUCUAGGCACUUGCAUCCCCAAAAUCCCAAAACCCAGAAACCUUUCCCACCCGUCUCCCCCAACCUUCCUUUACUACCAAAACCGCCGCCCUCACCUACCAAUCACCUUCUUCGAUGCUAAGGAGGCCGACGAUGGCUUCACGCGUAGCUCCUCGAGCUGGUCCCUGUUCAUGUACACCCAAAAAAAAAAAAUAAUAAAUAAAUAAAAUAAACCCAGUUUGUCUUCCCCACUCCCUUCUCCCCACCAGAGUCUACUCCCAAAUUAGACACACCUUAUCUCCCCACCCCCCGUCUCCUCACUCGAACCCACCCCCAAAAUUAGAGACAUUCAUUCUCUCUCUCUCUCUAAUCCCUAGCCCCAAAUCAGAGACACUCCAUUUCUCUCUCUAAUCUUUGAGAUUAUUUGGAAAGGUAAUGCCAUGGCUCACGGUGGCUACAGUAAGCGGCGAGUGAACCCAGGACGUCGGUCCAAGUCGACCUUGGGCCCAGAAACGAAGCCUAAGUCCUUCACCCUAAAAAACUAGAUACGUUCCAUCGAGCGUAUGCCCCGUAGGCUUGAAAUUAAGCAGCUGAUCCAAUGGCGAAGCAGAUGCGGAUGAGAUUGUUGUGUUCUUGGACUGAGGUUGCACCUGCCCUUUUGAUAUCUCACAACAAGACUUCAACAUGUCCUGUAUUGGAGACAAUAACUGAAGACUGGGAGAUGGAGGCCGAGGAGAAAGACUUGCAGGACUCAAAAAAAUGAAAUGUUAAAAGUUUGUGGACUUCUAAUAAAUUUUCAGGGUUCCCAUGUCCUGAUUAUUUAUAUUUUUCAGUUUUUUGUGUGAAUUUGUAGAAGUUUGUGGACUUGGUUGGAUUAUUUAACAGAAUUAUGUAGUUUCAGUGGGCUUCCAUUCCAUCCUAUAUUUAUGAAAAGGAAAAAAAAUUGAUGCCUUUGUA
This is a long non-coding RNA of Pyrus x bretschneideri (Chinese white pear), 939 nucleotides long. RefSeq lists it as uncharacterized. The record is from RefSeq and is a predicted model, not a curated record. Lineage: Eukaryota; Viridiplantae; Streptophyta; Magnoliopsida; Rosales; Rosaceae. The transcript is spliced from 2 exons.